GGGGGUGACCAGGGUUCGACGGGGAUAGUUGAGACUAGAGCCGCAGGCCGAGCGACCCAGUGACUCGUAAAUCCAACGGGACUAAACACAAAAGCAGACUCUACUGAGUACGCUCUGGCUGCUUAGCCAGCGUCUUUGGGGAAACGCGGCCCACGGUUUCUCAAGGGCGUAGCCAAAUGGGCUGGUCAAUCCAGGAGGUAACUGGACUAGAUUGACGAGAAAAUUUCAGUUUCUCGCCCCGAAGUCACCUGUCCGCUGGCGGCUAAAGGGUUAAAACUAAAUAACGGAACAAGCCUGUAGACACUUUAGGGUAAGAUCUUCGGACGCGGGUUCAAUUCCCGCCACCUCCACCA
This 353-nucleotide transfer-messenger RNA is filed under the name Deltaproteobacteria bacterium. It matches the Rfam family "transfer-messenger RNA". Rfam says of the family: Bacterial tmRNA, also known as 10Sa RNA or SsrA, is named for its dual tRNA and mRNA-like properties. Its role is to liberate the mRNA from a stalled ribosome. The record is from RNAcentral. Lineage: Bacteria; Pseudomonadati; Myxococcota; Myxococcia.